AACCAGCACCUCAAGUGGUCAGGAUGAUUAUUGGGCCUAAAGCAUCCGUAGCCGGCUUUGUAAGUUUUCGGUUAAAUCCAUGCGCUCAACGUAUGGGCUGCCGGGAAUACUGCAAAGCUAGGGAAUGGGAGAGGUAGACGGUACUCGGUAGGAAGGGGUAAAAUCCUUUGAUCUAUUGAUGACCACCUGUGGCGAAGGCGGUCUACCAGAACACGUCCGACGGUGAGGGAUGAAGGCUGGGGGAGCAAACCGGAUUAGAUACCCGGGUAGUCCCAGCUGUAAACUAUGCAAACUCAGUGAUGCAUUGGCUUGAUGCCAAUGCAGUGCUGCAGGGAAGCCGUUAAGUUUGCCGCCUGGGAAGUACGUACGCAAGUAUGAAACUUAAAGGAAUUGGCGGGGGAGCACCACAAGGGGUGAAGCCUGCGGUUCAAUUGGAGUCAACGCCAGAAAUCUUACCCGGAGAGACAGCAGAAUGAAGGUCAAGCUGAAGACUUUACCAGACAAGCUGAGAGGUGGUGCAUGGCCGUCGCCAGCUCGUGCCGUGAGAUGUCCUGUUAAGUCAGGUAACGAGCGAGAUCCCUGCCUCUAGUUGCCACCACUACUCUCAGGAGUAGUGGGGCGAAUUAGCGGGACCGCCGUAGUUAAUACGGAGGAAGGAAGGGGCCACGGCAGGUCAGUAUGCCCCGAAACUCUGGGGCCACACGCGGGCUGCAAUGGUAACGACAAUGUGUUCCGAAUCCGAAAGGAGGAGGUAAUCCUCAAACGUUACCACAGUUAUGACUGAGGGCUGCAACUCGCCCUCACGAAUAUGGAAUCCCUAGUAACUGCGUGUCACUAUCGCGCGGUGAAUACGUCCCUGCUCCU
Molecule: ribosomal RNA, 864 nt
Filed under: uncultured archaeon
Lineage: Archaea
Description: SSU rRNA
Rfam family: Archaeal small subunit ribosomal RNA
Source: RNAcentral